RNAcentral lists this ribosomal RNA (472 nucleotides) under Burkholderia cepacia. Its description in RNAcentral is "bacterial SSU rRNA". It matches the Rfam family "Bacterial small subunit ribosomal RNA", at positions 173 to 640 of the family's 1533-position model. Lineage: Bacteria; Pseudomonadati; Pseudomonadota; Betaproteobacteria; Burkholderiales; Burkholderiaceae. The record is from RNAcentral.
AUACGACCUACGGGUGAAAGCAGGGGACCUUCGGGCCUUGCGCGAUUGAAUGAGCCGAUGUCGGAUUAGCUAGUUGGCGGGGUAAAGGCCCACCAAGGCGACGAUCCGUAGCUGGUCUGAGAGGAUGAUCAGCCACACUGGAACUGAGACACGGUCCAGACUCCUACGGGAGGCAGCAGUGGGGAAUAUUGGACAAUGGGCGCAAGCCUGAUCCAGCCAUACCGCGUGGGUGAAGAAGGCCUUCGGGUUGUAAAGCCCUUUUGUUGGGAAAGAAAUCCAGCUGGCUAAUACCCGGUUGGGAUGACGGUACCCAAAGAAUAAGCACCGGCUAACUUCGUGCCAGCAGCCGCGGUAAUACGAAGGGUGCAAGCGUUACUCGGAAUUACUGGGCGUAAAGCGUGCGUAGGUGGUCGUUUAAGUCCGUUGUGAAAGCCCUGGGCUCAACCUGGGGACUGCAGUGGAUACUGGGCGA